RNAcentral lists this non-coding RNA (29 nucleotides) under Rattus norvegicus (Norway rat). Lineage: Eukaryota; Metazoa; Chordata; Mammalia; Rodentia; Muridae. The record is from RNAcentral.
UAGGCAGGUUUUGGAGCUAAUCUGACUUA